RNAcentral lists this ribosomal RNA (635 nucleotides) under Alexandrium tropicale. RNAcentral's name for it is "LSU rRNA". It matches the Rfam family "Eukaryotic large subunit ribosomal RNA", at positions 43 to 634 of the family's 3401-position model. Lineage: Eukaryota; Dinophyceae; Gonyaulacales; Pyrocystaceae. The record is from RNAcentral.
UAAGUAAGUGGUGGAAAUUAAACCAAAUGGGAUUCCUUUAGUAAUUGCGAAUGAACAAGGAUAUGCUUAGCUUGAUAAAUGGGGCUUCUGGCUUUGAAUUGUGUUUUUGAAAUGUAUUACCAACAGAGGUGCAGGUGUUAGCAUAUUGGAAGAAAGCGUCAAUGAGGGUGAGAAUCCUUUUUGUCAUGUGCAGUCCUCUGUGCACGGUGUAUGUUUGCUGAGUCACACUCCUUGGCAUUGGAAUGCAAAGUGGGUGGUAAGUUUCAUGUAAAGGUAAAUAUAUGAUUGAGACUGAUAGUGCACAAGUACCAUGAGGGAAAUAUGAAAAGGACUUUGAAAAGAGAAUUAAAUGAGUUUGUAUUUGCUGAACAGAAAGUAAACAGAUUUGAUUUUGCUGAGUGAGAUUGUGGUGCUUGCUUGACACUCUAAUGUGGCUGUAAGUACCAUGAUUCUUGCUUUGUGUGCCAGUUUUUUACACAUUUGAACAUACUGGCGUAUGAAUGGUAAUAUUCCUGUGGGGGUUGGAAUGCAUGCGUAUGUAAGCAUUUGUGUUCUGAACUAUGUGUUUGGUGAUAUUGUGUGUGCGCAAUUUGUACCUGAGGUUGCUUUCUUCCUGGGUCAACAAGCCUUAACAC